RNAcentral lists this non-coding RNA (162 nucleotides) under human gut metagenome. The record is from RNAcentral.
CAUCGCGAGAUGGAAUCUGAAGGAAGCCGGAUGCGGGGAAAGUACUAACCCGUGGGCAAACCUCUGGCCUGACGUACAGAAAUCUCAUAUGAGGUUGCAUGCGAGGGUAAGACUGCCAGACAAGCCGAAGCCCAAUAACUACACGGAAUCGCAUGGAAGAUU